RNAcentral lists this ribosomal RNA (1041 nucleotides) under Plasmodium inui. Its description in RNAcentral is "SSU rRNA". It matches the Rfam family "Eukaryotic small subunit ribosomal RNA". Lineage: Eukaryota; Apicomplexa; Aconoidasida; Haemosporida; Plasmodiidae. The record is from RNAcentral.
GGGAUAACUACGGAAAAGCUGUAGCUAAUACUUGCUUUAGCACUCUUGAUUAAGUUCUUGAGUGUGUACUUGUUAAGCCUUUUAAGAAAAAAGUUAUUAACUUAAGGAAUUAUAACAAAGAAGCAACACGUAAAUGGAUUUUCCAUUUUUUAGUGUGUAUCAAUCGAGUUUCUGACCUAUCAGCUUUUGAUGUUAGGGUAUUGGCCUAACAUGGCUAUGACGGGUAACGGGGAAUUAGAGUUCGAUUCCGGAGAGGGAGCCUGAGAAAUAGCUACCACAUCUAAGGAAGGCAGCAGGCGCGUAAAUUACCCAAUUCUAAAGAAGAGAGGUAGUGACAAGAAAUAACAAUACAAGGCCAAUCUGGCUUUGUAAUUGGAAUGAUGGGAAUUUAAAACCUUCCCAAAACUCAAUUGGAGGGCAAGUCUGGUGCCAGCAGCCGCGGUAAUUCCAGCUCCAAUAGCGUAUAUUAAAAUUGUUGCAGUUAAAACGCUCGUAGUUGAAUUUCAAAGAAUCGAUAUUUUAAGUAACGCUUUGUAGAUUAAUCCACAUAACUGAUACUACGUAUCGACUUUGUGCGCAUUUUUCUACUUAUGUGUUCUUUUAAUUAAAAUGAUUCUUUUUAAGAUCUUUCUUUUUUGCUUCGGCAUUUUAGGAGAUCUUGUUACUUUGAGUAAAUUAGAGUGUUCAAAGCAAACAGAUUAUAGCAUCUUUAUGCGUUUGAAUACUACAGCAUGGAAUAACAAAAUUGAACAAGUCAGAAUUUUGUUCUUUUUUCUUAUUUUGGCUUAGUUACGAUUAAUAGGAGUAGCUUGGGGGCAUUUGUAUUCAGAUGUCAGAGGUGAAAUUCUUAGAUUUUCUGGAGACAAACAACUGCGAAAGCAUUCGCCUAAAAUACUUCCAUUAAUCAAGAACGAAAGUUAAGGGAGUGAAGACGAUCAGAUACCGUCGUAAUCUUAACCAUAAACUAUGCCGACUAGGCUUUGGAUGAAAGAUUUUAAAAUAAGAGUUUUUUCUCUGAGGAGUUAAAACUCUUAGAUUGCA